GUGCUUGCUUCAGCGACACAUAGACUAAAAUUGGAGCGAUACAGAGAAGAUUAGCCUGGCCCCUGUGCAAGGAUGACCUGCAAGUUCGGGAAGCAUUCUAUAUUUUU
This is a small nuclear RNA of Echinops telfairi (small Madagascar hedgehog), 107 nucleotides long. NCBI's taxonomy places the organism in Eukaryota, Metazoa, Chordata, Mammalia, Afrosoricida, Tenrecidae. The record is from Ensembl.